UGGGGAAUAUUGGGCAAUGGGCGCAAGCCUGACCCAGCAAUGCCGCGUGAAGGAAGAAGGCUUUCGGGUUGUAAACUUCUUUGACAGGGGAAGAGCAGAAGACGGUACCCUGAAAACAAGCCACGGCUAACUACGUGCC
This 139-nucleotide ribosomal RNA is filed under the name uncultured bacterium. Its description in RNAcentral is "partial 16S ribosomal RNA". It matches the Rfam family "Bacterial small subunit ribosomal RNA", at positions 355 to 509 of the family's 1533-position model. The record is from RNAcentral.